Molecule: ribosomal RNA, 253 nt
Filed under: uncultured bacterium
Lineage: Bacteria
Description: partial 16S ribosomal RNA
Rfam family: Bacterial small subunit ribosomal RNA
Source: RNAcentral
UACGUAGGGAGCAAGCGUUGUUCGGAUUUACUGGGCGUAAAGGGCUUGUAGGCGGCUUGUCAAGUCACUUGUGAAAUCUCUGGGCUUAACCCAGAACGGCCAAGUGAAACUGACAUGCUAGAGUGCAGAAGGGGCAAUCGGAAUUCUUGGUGUAGCGGUGAAAUGCGUAGAUAUCAAGAGGAACACCUGAGGUGAAGACGGGUUGCGGGGCUGACACUGACGCUGAGGCGCGAAAGCCAGGGGAGCAAACGGG